Molecule: long non-coding RNA, 445 nt
Organism: Medicago truncatula (barrel medic)
Lineage: Eukaryota; Viridiplantae; Streptophyta; Magnoliopsida; Fabales; Fabaceae
Exons: 2
Source: RefSeq, a predicted model, not a curated record
CUAAAAGGUGGAUAGAGAGAGUAGAGAGAUAGAGAGAAGAAGAAAGAAGAAGAAGAAGAAGAAGAUCUUAGAACAGGAAGAAGAGGAUAGCAAAUCUAGAACUGGAGAUUGAUACCCUAGCUUGAGCUUUUGAGAGAUUGAGAUUAGCAGGUUGCUUGUAUCAAGGGGAGGCAGAUAUGCGGUCGAAUGGAUUAUCGCCAAGAGCUCGUCUCGUACCAGAUGAAGAUAUUCUAUGAUUUCAAAUACUUAUCAAAUAUAUGUAUUUGACAGUUGAUAUUUUUAUCAGAUGUAUGGCCUUAUAUUGAUGUAUACAUUCAUUUGGUCGAAAUUAUGUUGUAAUUUUAAUGUAUCCAGUACUAAGUUAACGCACAUGCUAAAUAUUCUAGAUAAAUUUAGUAUGGGUGUUACAUUUUUCUUAAAUGAGAUGAUGAUGUUAUGACUUGUA